Pseudomyrmex gracilis is the source of this 732-nucleotide long non-coding RNA. RefSeq lists it as uncharacterized. NCBI's taxonomy places the organism in Eukaryota, Metazoa, Arthropoda, Insecta, Hymenoptera, Formicidae. The record is from RefSeq and is a predicted model, not a curated record. The transcript has 4 exons.
GCAGACUACCAGAUGCGCAAUGUUAACGUGAGAUCGGUCAACUCUAAACGAAGGAAAACACCCUCCUCUUCCUGCUUCUGCACAGAUUCCACAACGCGGAACAUGCAAGAGGAAAGACGAGAUGGCGAAUCAGGCAGAACACCAACAGGCCGCCCCCAAGAAACCGCGGCUAGUUUUCACAGACCUUCAGCGCCGUACUCUACAGGCUAUUUUUAAAGAGACUAAGAGACCGUCAAAGGAGAUGCAGGUGACAAUCGCGAGGCAGCUGGGCCUGGAACCGACGACGGUCGGAAAUUUCUUCAUGAACGCCCGGCGCCGCUCCAUGGACAAGUGGAAGGACGAGGACCCGAAAACGGUGGUCGCGGUCGAAGAGGGACAAUUAUCGCCCACGAUAGGUAUCGGCCAGCGUCAGUCGAGCGACGUUUUGUGACACACGUCCGACCACGAGGAGUAUCACGACGAGUCGCCUGACGAGGACCUGCCCUUCACGUAAGGGCGGCGUACUCCGGAUCCUCGUGGACGUACCUUGCCGACGCGUUCGAUUUUGUUCGAAAAAAGAAGAGAGGGAGCAAAGCGGCUUUUCGGGAGGAAUUUUAUGCUAGUCUUUGUGCUACUGAUAUUUGUAUAAUUAUUGGAUAUUCGCGAUGAAUAAUCUUUAGAAUGUUAAAUUAUAUUAUUUAUUUAUUAAGUUUAUGUAUGAAAGGAAAUUUAAAUUCGAAAUAUUUCGGAAAA